GGAGAGGUGGCAGAGUGGUUGAAUGUGGCGGUCUCGAAAACCGUUGUACGUGCAAGCGUACCGAGGGUUCGAAUCCCUCUCUCUCCGCCA
Molecule: transfer RNA, 90 nt
Filed under: Alphaproteobacteria bacterium
Lineage: Bacteria; Pseudomonadati; Pseudomonadota; Alphaproteobacteria
Description: tRNA-Ser
Rfam family: tRNA
About the family: Transfer RNA (tRNA) molecules are approximately 80 nucleotides in length. Their secondary structure includes four short double-helical elements and three loops (D, anti-codon, and T loops). Further hydrogen bonds mediate the characteristic L-shaped molecular structure. tRNAs have two regions of fundamental functional importance: the anti-codon, which is responsible for specific mRNA codon recognition, and the 3' end, to which the tRNAs corresponding amino acid is attached (by aminoacyl-tRNA synthetases). tRNAs cope with the degeneracy of the genetic code in two manners: having more than one tRNA (with a specific anti-codon) for a particular amino acid; and 'wobble' base-pairing, i.e. permitting non-standard base-pairing at the 3rd anti-codon position.
Source: RNAcentral